Non-coding RNA from Choiromyces venosus 120613-1, 89 nucleotides. The record is from the annotation of a GenBank genome assembly. NCBI's taxonomy places the organism in Eukaryota, Fungi, Ascomycota, Pezizomycetes, Pezizales, Tuberaceae.
GCCUUGCUAGCUCAAUCGGUAGAGCGUGAGACUCUUAAGUUAUCCUAGGGUUAAUCUCAAGGUUGCGGGUUCGACCCCCGCGUGGGGCU